RNAcentral lists this unclassified non-coding RNA (347 nucleotides) under soil metagenome. RNAcentral describes it as "partial contains 5.8S ribosomal RNA, internal transcribed spacer 2, and large subunit ribosomal RNA". The stretch from base 1 to 120 matches the Rfam family "5.8S ribosomal RNA", at positions 35 to 154 of the family's 154-position model. The record is from RNAcentral.
GAUGAAGAACGUAGCGAAAUGCGAUAAUUAAUGUGAAUUGCAGAAUUCAGUGAAUCAUCGAGUCUUUGAACGCACAUUGCGCCCCCUGGUAUUCCGGGGGGCAUGCCUGUCCGAGCGUCAUUGCUGCCCUCAAGCACGGCUUGUGUGUUGGGCUUCCGUCCCUGGCAACGGGGACGGGCCCAAAAGGCAGUGGCGGCACCAUGUCUGGUCCUCGAGCGUAUGGGGCUUUGUCACCCGCUCCCGUAGGUCCAGCUGGCAGCUAGCCUCGCAACCAAUCUUUUUAACAAGGUUGACCUCGGAUCAGGUAGGGAUACCCGCUGAACUUAAGCAUAUCAAUAAGCGGAGGA